GGAAUUUUGAGCAGAGUGACAGUAAAAGAUUCAAGUAAAAUUAUUCAAACUUUGGUAGAAUUCAGUCAUCCAAAUGAUAUUGGAAGCAGUCGGUCAUGGGGCUGCAUGGUAGCAGAUGCAAUUCUAAUUGUAUGAUAAUGCACUGACAAUGAACUUGGUAUGCAGGAUAUGUAUGGGGAACUAUAAGCUGCAAUCUCUUGCAUACAGGCACACAAGGACAUUCUGACAUGAGGAGCCAUUGUGAAAUUGUACGAAGAACAUCUACUGACAGGUGAAAGAUAUCCUGAUUUCUGAGUACCAACAUCACCUUCUGAUCCUUCUGCCGAUGCAACCUUAGCACCAUUGAUUGGA
This 351-nucleotide long non-coding RNA is filed under the name Phoenix dactylifera (date palm). Its description in RNAcentral is "long non-coding RNA (PDAC_LNC020973)". The record is from RNAcentral. Lineage: Eukaryota; Viridiplantae; Streptophyta; Magnoliopsida; Arecales; Arecaceae.